This is a long non-coding RNA of Gallus gallus (chicken), 1725 nucleotides long. The record is from Ensembl. NCBI's taxonomy places the organism in Eukaryota, Metazoa, Chordata, Aves, Galliformes, Phasianidae.
CACACGGCCCCGGGCCGCUGCCCCAUCGGCUGCGGGCGCUGCCGCUGCCGCUUCCCUGCCAGCCGGGGAUGUUGCCAGCAGUGGGCAGGGGCAUUGGGGGGAGGCAUACCCGGCUUCAUCCCGCCGGGUAGGAGCUGGAGGAGGGGUAACUGCCUCUCCCCGGGUGGCAGAUGACCCACAAUUGUGUACAGCCCCUCAGGUGUGAGCUGAACCACAAUUGGGGGCACCUCCUGAGGUGGGAUCAGACCCACUGUUGGGGACACCUCCUGAGGUGGGAGAGGGCCCACAGUUGGGGGUACCCCCUGAAUUGGGAGGUGACCCACCGUUGGGGGCACCCCCUGAGGUAGGUUCAGACCCACCGCUGGGAUCACCUCCUGAGGUGGGAGCGGGCCCACAGUUGCGGGUACCCCCUGAAUUGGGAGCUGACCCACAGUUGGGGGUACCCCCUGAGGUGGGAACGGGCCUACAGUUUGGGGCAUUGCCCCAGCUGGCAGCUGAAGCACAGUUGGGUGCAUUGCCCCAGGUGGUGGGAGCUGAGCCACCAUGGAGGGCAGCCCCUGUGGUGGGAUCAGACCCACCAUUGGGGCUACCCCCUGAGGUGGGAGCAGGCCUACAGUUUGGGGUACCCCCUGAGGUAGCAGCUGACCCACAGUUUGGGGCAUUGCCCCAGGUGGUGGGAGCUGAGCCACCAUGGAGUGCAGCCCCUGUGGUGGGAUCAGAUCCACCACUGGGACUACCCCCAGAGGUGGGAGCUGACCCCCAGUAUAGGGCAUUGCCCCAAGGGGCAGCUCAGUCAUAGUUUGGGGCAUUGCCCCAGCUGGCAGCUGAGCCACAACUGGGGGUGUUGCCCCAGCUGGCAGUUGAAGCACAGUUUGAGGCAUCGCCCCAGGUGGCAGCUGCGCUCCCUGUCCCUGCACACCCGGUACCCCCGGCUGGACAGAGGCCUGAGGCACCAUGGAGGUGACAUUGGGGGCAGGGAUGGGCUGGAAGGAUACGGGCACUGCUCCGCCAAUGGUGGUCUGCAUCGCAGCAGUGGCCGGUGGGGGCACAAAGGCUCCAAAUAAAGUUGCGUCGGGUGUCGGAAGCACCGUCAGCGAUGAAGGAAUUCUCUCUGUGGGGAAAUGCCCAAAUGGGCGCCGGGGUGAGAUGUGGGGCACUGGGACCCCCUGGAGGGCCGCAGUGCCAGGAGCAGGAGGAGCCUGCUGCCUUACCUGCCGUGGCAGCUCGAGAGUGGCGCUGGGGGGUUCCGUGAGCGCUGGGGUCAGCCCCUCUGCCCUGAGCUCACAGUGCCCCUCUGUGACGCUGUCCCGUGGUGUCACAGGCACUGCUCUGUGCCUGCCAUGUCAUCAACUUGCUGUGGCUGUAAUCAUGCUGGUGACAGCAUGGGACGAGUGUGGGGAGCUAUGGCCUCUGCCCUUCUCAUACUCCUCCUCCUGAUGGCCACAACUUUCUGGAAGUUCGCUGCUGCUCCGUGGCGAGCACCAGGAGCAGGUGGGUGAGCAAAACGGAGCGGCACGGGGGGCACGAAGUCACUGCAAGGACAGAGCCUUUGGGGCUCCCCCUCCCGUUCUCUUUUCUUCCCCUCUCCAUCCCAUUUCCAUUCUCUUCCCCUCCCCGUCUCCAGACACUUCCACACACGGACUGUUGUGUAUCAGCACGGUGCCACUGCAGGCGCCGCAGUCCACUCCUGCACAACCGCUGGUUCCAUCAGCUGUGGCUGUCCAG